Lingula anatina is the source of this 665-nucleotide unclassified non-coding RNA. The record is from RefSeq and is a predicted model, not a curated record. NCBI's taxonomy places the organism in Eukaryota, Metazoa, Brachiopoda, Lingulata, Lingulida, Lingulidae.
GGCCAAAAUGAAGGAAGCAAGCAAAGUGGCAGCAUGUGCCUAGACUGCGUAAAGGAAGAAUAUCCUGACAGGGAAACUGUAUGCAUUGAAACUGGAUCCUACCUGAUGAAUUUUGCCAAGUGUGCACAUUGCAAUAAUUUGGGUGAUGUUAAAAUAGUUAACAGAACAGAAGAAGAAGAAGAUGGGGAAGAGUUGAUAACAUACCAGCAUGUCUGCCAAGAAUGUGGCCACAUUAUAGCCAAUCAUAGAUACUCAUUUUAUGUUGAAGAUGAUGAAUAUCAGAUGUAUGAAAUGGAAUGCUUGUUGUGUGGGAGAGGAGAAGAUUCAAGGAGUGUAAUGCCUACAGACCCAAAACAUAUGCAACAGUUAUUUUAACUAACAUUCGAUUACUGAGAGUUAUAUUGUAAAUAUUAGUAUUUAUGAGUAUAUGCUUGGACAGUCACCAUGUUAAAACUUUGAAAUGUUCCUUGACAUCAGAUAUAUUACUGGAGGUCAAUAGUAACGACAAGGUUGUUUUUUUUUUUUUUUUUUUUUUCAACAAAAUCAUCACCAAAACAUGCAAUAAACUAUUUUUAGAUUAUGUUUCUAUCAGACUUAGGGUCUAUUCCCACAACUUUAGAUCGAUCUAUCACCGCGGGGAGUCUCACCAGACUACCGUCAGAUAA